Molecule: ribosomal RNA, 355 nt
Filed under: uncultured bacterium
Lineage: Bacteria
Description: bacterial SSU rRNA
Rfam family: Bacterial small subunit ribosomal RNA
Source: RNAcentral
AGAGUUUGAUCAUGGCUCAGGAUGAACGCUAGCUACAGGCUUAACACAUGCAAGUCGAGGGAACGACAUCGAAGCUUGCUUUUGAUGGGCGUCGACCGGCGCACGGGUGAGUAACGCGUAUCCAACCUGCCCACCACUUGGGGAGUAACCUUGCGAAAGUAAGACUAAUACCCAAUGAUAUCUCUAGAAGACAUCUGAAAGAGAUUAAAGAUUCAUCGGUGAUGGAUGGGGGAUGCGUCUGAUUAGCUUGUUGGCGGGGUAACGGCCCACCAAGGCAACGAUCAGUAGGGGUUCUGAGAGGAAGGUCCCCCACAUUGGAACUGAGACACGGUCCAAACUCCUACGGGAAGCAGCA